GUCCCAGGCGAGCGCCCGCCAGAGUUAAACCAAACUCUUGUUAUUUAACCGGUCGUCUGAGUUAAAAUUUUGAAUAAAUCAAAACUUUCAACAACGGAUCUCUUGGUUCUCGCAUCGAUGAAGAACGCAGCGAA
Molecule: unclassified non-coding RNA, 134 nt
Filed under: Aureobasidium pullulans
Lineage: Eukaryota; Fungi; Ascomycota; Dothideomycetes; Dothideales; Saccotheciaceae
Description: sequence contains ITS1
Rfam family: 5.8S ribosomal RNA (bases 83-134)
Source: RNAcentral